AACGAACGCUGGCGGCAGGCCUAACACAUGCAAGUCGAACGAUGUAGCAAUACAUAGUGGCGCACGGGUGAGUAACGCGUGGGAAUGUACCUUUUGGUGGGGAAUAACUCCGGGAAACUGGAGCUAAUACCGCAUACGCCCUUCGGGGGAAAGAUUUACCGCCAAAAGAUCAGCCCGCGUGAGAUUAGAUAGUUGGUGGGGUAAUGGCCUACCAAGUCUACGAUCUCUAGCUGGUCUUAGAGGAUGACCAGCCACACUGGAACUGAGACACGGUCCAGACUCCUACGGGAGGCAGCAGUGGGGAAUAUUGGGCAAUGGGCGCAAGCUUGACCCAGCCAUGCCGCGUGAGUGAUGAAGGCUCUAGGGUUGUAAAGCUCUUUCGCCGAUGAAGAUAAUGACGGUAGUCGGAGAAGAAGCCCCGGCUAACUUCGUGCCAGCCGCCGCGGUAA
Molecule: ribosomal RNA, 449 nt
Filed under: uncultured bacterium
Lineage: Bacteria
Description: partial 16S ribosomal RNA
Rfam family: Bacterial small subunit ribosomal RNA
Source: RNAcentral